UGGGGAAUAUUGGACAAUGGGCGAAAGCCUGAUCCAGCAAUGCCGCGUGAGUGAUGAAGGCCUUAGGGUUGUAAAGCUCUUUUACCAGGGAUGAUAAUGACAGUACCUGGAGAAUAAGCUCCGGCUAACUCCGUGCCAGCAGCCGCGGUAAUACGGAGGGAGCUAGCGUUGUUCGGAAUUACUGGGCGUAAAGCGCGCGUAGGCGGUUUAUCAAGUCAGGGGUGAAAUCCCGGGGCUCAACCCCGGAACUGCCCUUGAAACUGGUUCACUAGAAUCCUGGAGAGGCGAGUGGAAUUCCGAGUGUAGAGGUGAAAUUCGUAGAUAUUCGGAAGAACACCUGUGGCGAAGGCGACUCGCUGGACAGGUAUUGACGCUGAGGUGCGAAAGCGUGGGGAGCAAACA
This 402-nucleotide ribosomal RNA is filed under the name uncultured bacterium. Its description in RNAcentral is "bacterial SSU rRNA". It matches the Rfam family "Bacterial small subunit ribosomal RNA", at positions 355 to 774 of the family's 1533-position model. The record is from RNAcentral.